Molecule: transfer-messenger RNA, 358 nt
Filed under: Aureimonas pseudogalii
Lineage: Bacteria; Pseudomonadati; Pseudomonadota; Alphaproteobacteria; Hyphomicrobiales; Aurantimonadaceae
Description: Alphaproteobacteria transfer-messenger RNA
Rfam family: Alphaproteobacteria transfer-messenger RNA
About the family: Bacterial tmRNA, also known as 10Sa RNA or SsrA, is named for its dual tRNA and mRNA-like properties.
Source: Rfam by way of RNAcentral
GGGCUUUCCACCGCGACGGGGAAUGCCUAUAUUCCGCGGGUCGGGGCUUGCCUCGACUAUGGCGAUAAACUGACGAUGAAAUAAACCAUUCGGACCCGGGGGCGGUACCCGGCGCCUCCACCUGAGCCCAUCCCCAGCGAUGGGUUGAGGCGGGGGCGAAAUAGGAUCGACGAGGGUGUAAAGAUCGGACUUUCGCUCGGCAUGGUACCACCGUCAUCGGGCUGUAAAAGUAGUUGCCAACGACAACUAUGCGGAAGUGCGUCUCGCCGCGUAAGCGGUGCGAUAACUUCGAAUCAAGCCCUGAGGGUUCGCACUCUUAGGCGGGGCCCGGAGGCGCCUGGCAACAGAAGCCUCCACC